Molecule: ribosomal RNA, 252 nt
Filed under: uncultured bacterium
Lineage: Bacteria
Description: partial 16S ribosomal RNA
Rfam family: Bacterial small subunit ribosomal RNA
Source: RNAcentral
UACGUAGGGGCGAGCGUUGUCCGGAGUUACUGGGCGUAAAGCGCACGCAGGCGGUCUGCUAAGUUUGGAGUGACAGUUGGUGGCUUAACUGCCAAAGUGCUUCGAAAACUGACAGACUUGAGGGCUUCAGAGGGACACGGAAUUCCGGGUGUAGCGGUGGAAUGCGUAGAGAUCCGGAAGAACACCGGUGGCGAAGGCGGUUGGCUGGGCCACACCUGACACUUAGGCGCGACAGCGUGGGGAGCAAACAGG